AUGCUCGUCCGCUCGCCGCCGCACCAUCAUCGUCGUAGCAUCCAAGGUCGUCCCGAGCCACGCGAAGUUUUCCAGGAGGAGGGACAUCAUCAUCUUCGUCGUCCACGCCCUCGAGUCCGAGCUGGGAAGCCACCAAUCGUCGCCAUCGUCCUCUUCUUCCCAUCUGCAUCGCCGCAUCCAUCGCCUCGAUCCGCGCCAUCCCAAGCUCCUUCGGCUUCACCGAGUCUGCCACGAGCUCCGAUACAUCGAGACCGACGCCGCUGCUACCCAGUACGACUACGGUGUUGA
This 288-nucleotide ribosomal RNA is filed under the name Triticum aestivum (bread wheat). RNAcentral describes it as "partial small subunit ribosomal RNA". Lineage: Eukaryota; Viridiplantae; Streptophyta; Magnoliopsida; Poales; Poaceae. The record is from RNAcentral.